CCUACGGGAGGCAGCAGUCGAGAAUUUUUCUCAAUGGGGGAAACCCUGAAGGAGCGACGCCGCGUGGAGGAUGAAGGCUUUCGGGUUGUAAACUCCUGUCAUUUGGGAACUAGUACCAGAAGAGGAAGAGACGGCUAACUCUGUGCCAGCAGCCGCGGUAAUACAGAGGUCUCAAGCGUUGUUCGGAUUCAUUGGGCGUAAAGGGUGCGUAGGUGGCGCUGUAAGUCAGGUGUGAAAUUUAGGAGCUCAACUUCGAAACUGCAUUUGAUACUGCGGUGCUUGAGGACGGGAGAGGAGACUGGAAUUUACGGUGUAGCAGUGAAAUGCGUAGAGAUCGGAAGGAAGACCAGUGGCGAAGGCGGGUCUCUGGACAGUCCUGACACUGAGGCACGAAGGCCAGGGGAGCAAACGGGAUUAGAUACCCGUAUAGUC
Molecule: ribosomal RNA, 432 nt
Filed under: uncultured bacterium
Lineage: Bacteria
Description: partial 16S ribosomal RNA
Rfam family: Bacterial small subunit ribosomal RNA
Source: RNAcentral